This is a non-coding RNA of Paramuricea clavata, 361 nucleotides long. Lineage: Eukaryota; Metazoa; Cnidaria; Anthozoa; Malacalcyonacea; Plexauridae. The record is from the annotation of a GenBank genome assembly.
UAGUCCAUUUUCUCCUUUGAAAUAAAUUGGGGACAUACUCCUUCAACCAUCGUUUCCAAACGUAAUUGGUCACAACUUGAGCUUGUCGCCAUCGACGUCGACUAGAUAUUAGCGACCUUAAGCAAACAGGACGGCAACGCGACGACGACGGCUAUUCACACAAUGAUAUUCCUGAUCUCGUACAAAAGAAAUGAAUAAUUAAAAGCCCCACGGGAGUUAGAGACGUUGUGUUAGGGCUUUUUACAACGGCAAACCAGAGAUUUUCACGUCUCGUGUACAACGCAAACAUAUCAAGACGCGACAAGUGAAACUACAAAUUUGUUCGCAAAAGCGUGUUUAACCAUAAAACCUUUGUUAAAAG